This 423-nucleotide ribosomal RNA is filed under the name uncultured Nitrosospira sp. Its description in RNAcentral is "bacterial SSU rRNA". It matches the Rfam family "Bacterial small subunit ribosomal RNA", at positions 207 to 622 of the family's 1533-position model. Lineage: Bacteria; Pseudomonadati; Pseudomonadota; Betaproteobacteria; Nitrosomonadales; Nitrosomonadaceae. The record is from RNAcentral.
CAAGACCUUGCGCCCUUGGAGCGGCCGAUGUCUGAUUAGCUAGUUGGUGAGGUAAUGGCUUACCAAGGCGACGAUCAGUAGCUGGUCUGAGAGGACGAUCAGCCACACUGGGACUGAGACACGGCCCAGACUCCUACGGGAGGCAGCAGUGGGGAAUUUUGGACAAUGGCGCAAGCCUGAUCCAGCAAUGCCGUGUGAGUGAAAAAGGCCUUCGGGUUGUAAAGCUCUUUCAGCCGGAACGAAACGAUCACGGCUAAUACCUGUGAUCACUGACGGUACCGGAAGAAGAAGCACCGGCUAACUACGUGCCAGCAGCCGCGGUAAUACGUAGGGUGCAAGCGUUAAUCGGAAUUACUGGGCGUAAAGCGUGCGCAGGCGGUUUUGUAAGUCAGAUGUGAAAGCCCCGGGCUUAACCUGGGAACU